This 749-nucleotide ribosomal RNA is filed under the name Geodermatophilaceae bacterium. Its description in RNAcentral is "bacterial SSU rRNA". It matches the Rfam family "Bacterial small subunit ribosomal RNA", at positions 71 to 835 of the family's 1533-position model. Lineage: Bacteria; Bacillati; Actinomycetota; Actinomycetes; Geodermatophilales; Geodermatophilaceae. The record is from RNAcentral.
GAAGCCAGCUUGCUGGUGGAUUAGUGGCGAACGGGUGAGUAACACGUGGGCAACCUGCCCCCGGCUCUGGGAUAACUCCAAGAAAUUGGUGCUAAUACCGGAUAUUCACAUUCUCUCGCAUGGGGGUUUGUGGAAAGUUUUUCGGCUGGGGAUGGGCCCGCGGCCUAUCAGCUUGUUGGUGGGGUGAUGGCCUACCAAGGCGACGACGGGUAGCCGGCCUGAGAGGGUGACCGGCCACACUGGGACUGAGACACGGCCCAGACUCCUACGGGAGGCAGCAGUGGGGAAUAUUGCGCAAUGGGCGGAAGCCUGACGCAGCGACGCCGCGUGAGGGAUGACGGCCUUCGGGUUGUAAACCUCUUUCAGCAGGGACGAAGCGAAAGUGACGGUACCUGCAGAAGAAGCACCGGCCAACUACGUGCCAGCAGCCGCGGUAAUACGUAGGGUGCAAGCGUUGUCCGGAAUUAUUGGGCGUAAAGAGCUCGUAGGCGGUUUGUCGCGUCGGCUGUGAAAGCCCGGAGCUCAACUCCGGGUCUGCAGUCGAUACGGGCAGACUUGAGUGUUGCAGGGGAGACUGGAAUUCCUGGUGUAGCGGUGAAAUGCGCAGAUAUCAGGAGGAACACCGGUGGCGAAGGCGGGUCUCUGGGCAACAACUGACGCUGAGGAGCGAAAGCGUGGGGAGCGAACAGGAUUAGAUACCCUGGUAGUCCACGCCGUAAACGUUGGGCGCUAGGUGUGGGGGCCAUUCC